CCGUGAGAAAAAUCCUGUCUUCGCCGAUCAAGUUUGCGACGUGGGAUGCAUGAAUCUUAUCAAUCACCACUGGACCAGGAUUUGCAAGAACAAGCUGCAGGGCAAUUUGGAGAUGCAAAGAUUACACCAAAGAAGGCUCCCAUGCAAGCCACAAAAUCAAAUUUAUCAAUCUUCCAUAUAAGGAUUGCUGCUUGGAAGUCGAUUAGGUUGAUCACAGCAGAUAUAAUGAUGGCAGCGAGAAUGGCAUUUGGGGUGUACUUAAAAAGAGGUGUAAUGAAUUGCAAGGUCAGGAAAACAACACAGGACAUCACAAUAUUAGAGACUGCAGUUUGGCAGCCUGCCAUGUAGUUCACUGCCGAGCGAGAGAAUGAACCUGCAAGUACGAGCAAUUAAUCAGUUCCAUGUCCUUAGUCACAUGUCCCGCUAGGUACUACGUUCCAAGGUUUCAGGAAACAGCAAAAUAAAUCAUGUGCAGACAGAUAAGAACAUACUCCUAUUUUUAAACAAAAUGAUGGAGCAAAAGUGUGAAGGGCUGAAAUAAACCACUAGGAGCAGUUUCUAGUUGCAUGCAGAAGGUAUUUUUUUGACACCCUCUACCUUCAACGUUUUAAAGAUGGUGAUUAAUCAACUAGUUCAUGGGAAUAU
Long non-coding RNA from Prunus dulcis (almond), 645 nucleotides. RefSeq lists it as uncharacterized. Lineage: Eukaryota; Viridiplantae; Streptophyta; Magnoliopsida; Rosales; Rosaceae. The transcript has 3 exons. The record is from RefSeq and is a predicted model, not a curated record.